RNAcentral lists this unclassified non-coding RNA (1521 nucleotides) under Hevea brasiliensis (rubber tree). Lineage: Eukaryota; Viridiplantae; Streptophyta; Magnoliopsida; Malpighiales; Euphorbiaceae. The record is from RNAcentral.
AAAAUCUCACAUGAUUUCUAGGGAGAAAUGGUGCAUCUUUUUUAGCAAAUACUGUUACAAAUUAAACAAAAUCAGAUAUCAAGAUUGUUGAAUUCAAACUAAAUAUUAAAAUAAAUAAUCUAAAUUGCUGAAACUUGCAGUCUGAAGCAAUAGUAGCAUAUGCUUCAAGAAUCUGUUCUCCACUCUAUUGACCAGUCAUUAAUUUGGAUCAGAUUCUUGGUCCGAGCUCAGAACCAGAACUUCAUUGCGGAUGAUUCUUGGUCUAUGUAAAAUUUUAACAGCAGUUGAAAAAUGGGAUAGCGACCAUCUUCAAUUAGUUGGAAAUAGAAGAGAGAAAUGUCUCCGUCCAUCAGCAGCAAUUCAAACAAGAGAAGAACUCUGCUUACAUGCGAUUGUAAAACACCAUCAACUCCAAGAGGAUGAUCAUAUCUAUUGUUACUGGGCUGCAGAUGGAUACUCCUACCAUGGUCAAGUCACUCUGAAACUUUUAUGAUACAAAUUGGAGCUUACAAUCUCUAACUUGAUAUAUCAUAAUUAUGAAAAUCAUAUAAUUAAACCUAUCCUGCACCCAUACUUCACAUGCAAUAAUGAAGUACUAUUGAGUAUUACAAGACGACAAGUGAUGAAAGGUCAUAUAGUUAGUAAAUCUACUGAAAUUAGGGGAGGGAACUGCAGAGCAAACAAGAAACAACAAAUUAAGAGAACCGCCAUAACUAAUGCACUACAAUCACCUAACACUGCAAAGGAGCCUGCAAUAAAAGCAACAAACAUCCCACAGAUGGCAAAGCUGGAGAAUACCAUUGCAAAAUAUGUCCAGAAUGCAAUGGUGUUUCGUUUCACCAACAAGGCAGUGAAAUUAUGAAAAAUCACCGAUGCAAUCGAGCAAGAAAAGGCUAUGGUAUUACCCACCACAAAUGCUCUAAAGGAUGCUUUCUUGAUAAAAACUGGCAUGCCUUCAUCAGGUUUCUCAUUUUUGAAUCCUCCAGGAACAGUGAAAGCUGCUGCAAAUGAGACAGUGGCUAUGAGAGUUGAUACCAAUAUAUUGGUGCUAGCCAUAUUCCUAAGAUGGUUAAAGGAUAAAACUUCUGGUCCCUCUGGUUUUAAUCUUUUAUCUUCAACCUCUUCAUCCCCAUGAUUUUCGACAACGCCCUUUUCACGCUCUGUUCUUGCUUCAAUUUUCUUGUUGCGACCUUGCUCUAAACUUGCUAGACCACCAGCAAUUGACAAUUGAAAUAUCAUCCAACCCUGUCUGAAAAAGUUGAGUACCCUCCUUGAAUCAAUGAUGUCCACAACAGCAAGACAAUCCUUGUUCAUGAUUGUCUUGUCUGCCCUUCUAUCAUUUGUCAGCAAUAGAAAGAUCUCCCCAUGUCCCUGCAAAGUCGCUAGAUGCAAUGCUGUGUUUCCUUCAUUAUCUUGGUCAUUUAUAUUAUCCUCAGCGACCUGUUUCAAAAUAAACUUGACAGCAUUUCCCUUUCCACUUUCAGCAGCAACAAGAAGAGCUGUCCGGCCAUUGUUGUCUUU